Molecule: ribosomal RNA, 253 nt
Filed under: uncultured bacterium
Lineage: Bacteria
Description: partial 16S ribosomal RNA
Rfam family: Bacterial small subunit ribosomal RNA
Source: RNAcentral
UACGUAGGGUGCGAGCGUUAAUCGGAAUUACUGGGCGAAAAGCGUACGCAGGCGGCUGCGCAAGACAGAUGUGAAAUCCCCGGGCCUAACCUGGGAACUGCAUUUGUGACUGCGCAGCUCGAGUCCGGCAGAGGGGGGUGGAAUUCCACGUGCAGCAGUGAAAUGCGUAGAGAUGUGGAGGAACACCGAUGGCGAAGGCAGCCCCCUGGGAUGAGACUGAUGCUCAGGUACGAACGCGUGGGGAGCACACAGG